Anguilla rostrata (American eel) is the source of this 1800-nucleotide long non-coding RNA. RefSeq lists it as uncharacterized. The record is from RefSeq and is a predicted model, not a curated record. NCBI's taxonomy places the organism in Eukaryota, Metazoa, Chordata, Actinopteri, Anguilliformes, Anguillidae. The transcript is spliced from 2 exons.
CCACCGAGUGUGCAGUAGGGUCUGUGUUUAGGAGAGGUGACUCAACACUAACCGAGUGUGCAGUAGGGUCUGUGUUUAGGAGAGGUGACUCAACACUAACCCGAGUGUGCAGUAGGGUCUGUGUUUAGGAGAGGUGACUCAACACUAACCCGAGUGUGCAGUAGGGUCUGUGUUUAGGAGAGGUGACUCAACACUAACCCGAGUGUGCAGUAGGGUCUGUGUUUAGGAGAGGUGACUCAACACUAACCCGAGUGUGCAGUAGGGUCUGUGUUUAGGAGAGGUGACUCAACACUAACCGAGUGUGCAGUAGGGUCUGUGUUUAGGAGAGGUGACUCAACACUAACCCGAGUGUGCAGUAGGGUCUGUGUUUAGGAGAGGUGACUCAACACUAACCCAAGUGUGCAGUAGGGUCUGUGUUUAGGAGAGGUGACUCAACACUAACCCGAGUGUGCAGUAGGGUCUGUGUUUAGGAGAGGUGACUCAACACUAACCCGAGUGUGCAGUAGGGUCUGUGUUUAGGAGAGGUGACUCAACACUAACCCGAGUGUGCAGUAGGGUCUGUGUUUAGGAGAGGUGACUCAACACUAACCCGUGUGUGCAGUAGGGUCUGUGUUUAGGAGAGGUGCUUGUGUGCCCCCCCCCCCCCCUGCUGGUGAUGCUCAGUUCGCUGCAUGUCUGGAGCUGUUCAUGACCAUUUUGUUUUUGUAUUAUAUUUAUACAUAAGUGCCUUAACCCAGGAGACCCUAGGCAUUGUGCUCUCUCUCUGUGUGUGUGUGUGUGUGUGUGUGUGUGUGUGUAUACGCGGUCAUGUUUUGUCGCUGGCAUUAGCAGAUUUUUAGGGGAGUGAGCUCAUCUGUAUACCCCUCCCCCCUGCCCCCGCCCCCCCCCCCCCCCCCACCGCACUUCCUUCCCAUAAAAGGGAUUGGGCGUGGCACACGCGGUUGGUUGGGUCUUGUGGAGCAGUGCAGGGGUUAGGGCAGCGGGGGGCUAAGGCCGAGGGAUCCCCGGGUAGGGCGUGCGGGCCCUCACCUUUGCUUGCAUUCUCCGGUAGGGAAAAGAACCGCCCCCCCCCUCUGAACCCUUCAUCGUGUGCACGCAUCAGCCGUGGUUGUCAGAUUGUGUUUGUCCGAUUCCAAGCUCUUUCACGCUGUCUAAAAUAUCAGAAAAGACCAAAGUUGUGUUGUUUUUUUUUUUUUUUUUGUUUAACAUUUUUUUUAUUUUGAUUCUUUUCUUAAGCCAUUGGGGGGGUGGGGGGGUGGGGGUUGUAGUUCAUUGAAAAAUGCGCGCCACACAUAUUAUAACUGUAACGGAUGGUUUGGGAGCAAGAAAGUGUCAGACUGCUUGGACAUUCACUUCCUGGUUCCUGCAGUCGUAGACCUGGAUAUCUCACCUUCUGGGACAGAAAGCGAAAGAGAGGAGGAGGAGGAUGAGGAAGAAAGAGAGGGGGGGGGGAGAUGAGUCCUUCCUGAACUCAUCAGCUCUGGUACAUGCCUGACCAGUCUCUAAUUGCGCUAUUGACAGACUCCUUCCGCAGCGUUUCUGUUGGUCCUUACAGGAAUGAAGAAAAAAAAAACUUAACGCGAAGGAUCAUAUUAAUGGUGACUUUUUCUUUUCCCCUUUUUGUCAGAAUGUUUCACUGUUUUUUUGUUACCAUCUUCUUUUUAUAUUUAAGUAUGCAGUAACUUGUUUUUUUGUACUGUACAUUUGCUGUAGUUUGAAUGCAUAUUGCACUUUUUUUUACAUUUGUUAAAACGAUGUACUGUAUGUGUUUAUUAUGAAAAUAAACCUUUUUUCAUUCAA